Molecule: ribosomal RNA, 464 nt
Filed under: uncultured bacterium
Lineage: Bacteria
Description: partial 16S ribosomal RNA
Rfam family: Bacterial small subunit ribosomal RNA
Source: RNAcentral
GACGAACGCUGGCGGCGUGCUUAACACAUGCAAGUCGUACGGUAAGGCCCUUUCGGGGGUACACGAGUGGCGAACGGGUGAGUAACACGUGAGUAACCUGCCCACAACUUUGGGAUAACGCUAGGAAACUGGUGCUAAUACUGGAUAUGUGCUCCUGCUGCAUGGUGGGGGUUGGAAAGCUCCGGCGGUUGGGGAUGGACUCGCGGCUUAUCAGCUUGUUGGUGGGGUAGUGGCUUACCAAGGCUUUGACGGGUAGCCGGCCUGAGAGGGUGACCGGCCACAUUGGGACUGAGAUACGGCCCAGACUCCUACGGGAGGCAGCAGUGGGGAAUAUUGCACAAUGGGCGGAAGCCUGAUGCAGCAACGCCGCGUGCGGGAUGACGGCCUUCGGGUUGUAAACCGCUUUCGCCUGUGACGAAGCGUGAGUGACGGUAAUGGGUAAAGAAGCACCGGCUAACUACGUG